RNAcentral lists this ribosomal RNA (253 nucleotides) under uncultured bacterium. RNAcentral describes it as "partial 16S ribosomal RNA". It matches the Rfam family "Bacterial small subunit ribosomal RNA", at positions 524 to 776 of the family's 1533-position model. The record is from RNAcentral.
UACGAGUGCCUCAAGCGUUAUCCGGAAUCAUUGGGCGUAAAGGUUGUGUAGGUGGCUGUAUUAGUCUCUUGUUAAAUUCUUCGGCUUAACCGGGGGCAUGCAUGGGAAACGGUACGACUCGAGGAUGCGAGGGGUCUGCGGAACUCAUAGUGUAGCGGUGAAAUGCGUUGAUAUUAUGGGGAACACCAAAAGCGAAGGCAGCAGACUGGAGCACUCCUGACACUGAAACAAGAAAGCGUGGGUCGCGAAUGGG